CUUAUCACCGCGCGGCUCGCGGGAUAAGAACUCACUUCUUUGAACGCCGUGUUCUUCGUCUUUCUUAGUUCCUUCAACGUAUCGCACUGGUCCGUGGUACAUUGGGAUUACUGCAAGCUGCCCGAGGCGUGACGCCGCUUUUAAUGUAAUAAUGAGCAACAAACCUGCUGUGGAUAUCAUUGUUGCUGCGGCCAAUCCUGACCUCCCCUUAAUCAAACCAAAGUGGUUGAGGGGCAGUAUAACUUGGAUCCCCGUCUCCACCACACCAACACCGCCACCACUGAUUUCGCCAGAGUUUUGAGAAAAUAGGUCAUAUGCUGCUGAUCCAGGCGUAGCCUUCCUCGGAAACAUUGCCCGUCUAUGACGACGAACAAAGAUAAGUCCGUCAACUGUGUGAGAAAUUAAUAGACAACAAUUUUAGUUAAUUAAUGAAGUAUUGGAAUUUAUUUAUUUUCAGAAUUGAUCCGGUGCUAAUUUGAAGGACGAGAAGUUUUUCUUAAUUGUACCUGGCUGUUCACCUGCUCCUCCGCCGCUGAAGUGAGGUUGGGGAUCCUUCUUGGAUGUCUUCCGCUUAGCGUCCUUCACGGCCGACUUGACUUGGUCCUUCACGAUCCUCUUCGCAGGCUUCUUAUCGUCGUCGCCUGAAAACGCAAAUCUCGGAAUUUUGUCGUAUUGUCGCUGCUGCUGCUGCUGCUGCUGCUGCUGCUACUACUCGCGGCUGGUGAUGCUCGAAGGAAUGAAACAAUCUAUACUGGAGAACGAGCGGAUUCUUUUAUAAGCGGAGGAAUAUAUGCGUUUUCACUUCUCUCAUAUCAAUAUGAAUUCAUGGAAAUCUUGUACGAGAUGCAUCCCAUGUGGACUUCAAUUCGCCUCAGCAAGGCGGUUCGAAAAACACGUUGCGAAUCACAGAAGGCCUUUUAGAUUAUAUGUAUGCAAGUUAUGUAAUUUAGAAUUC
Folsomia candida is the source of this 955-nucleotide long non-coding RNA. RefSeq lists it as uncharacterized. The transcript is spliced from 6 exons. The record is from RefSeq and is a predicted model, not a curated record. Lineage: Eukaryota; Metazoa; Arthropoda; Collembola; Entomobryomorpha; Isotomidae.